This 223-nucleotide ribosomal RNA is filed under the name uncultured bacterium. RNAcentral's name for it is "partial 16S ribosomal RNA". It matches the Rfam family "Bacterial small subunit ribosomal RNA", at positions 354 to 594 of the family's 1533-position model. The record is from RNAcentral.
UGGGGGAAUAUUGCACAAUGGGCGAAAGCCUGAUGCAGCAACGCCGCGUGAGUGAUGAAGGUCUUCGGAUUGUAAAGCUCUGUCUUUUGGGACGAUAAUGACGGUACCAAAGGAGGAAGCCACGGCUAACUACGUGCCAGCAGCCGCGGUAAUACGUAGGUGGCAAGCGUUGUCCGGAUUUACUGGGCGUAAAGGGUGCGUAGGCGGAUGUUUAAGUGAGAUG